Molecule: long non-coding RNA, 231 nt
Filed under: Elaeis guineensis (African oil palm)
Lineage: Eukaryota; Viridiplantae; Streptophyta; Magnoliopsida; Arecales; Arecaceae
Description: long non-coding RNA (EGUI_LNC069128)
Source: RNAcentral
AGGCACCCUUUAGGUCGACCUCCAUCGCCUUCGCUGCCCUCCUGCACCUCUCAAACCAGCCAAGGUUAGUUUCGGAGCCCUUCUUUUUCUUACUAUUCUUUCAUUUUUCUUCCUCUGCAUUCCUCCCAUUCAGUUUCUCCACGAGUGCCUUGUUUCCUUUUUUUUUUAAUUUUUUUGAGAUUUUCAUUUGAUUCAAAAUGUCCUCCAACACUUCCUCUAGUGGUUCUAGAA